CAGCAGCCGCGGUAAUACGGGAAGGGCAAGCGUUAUCCGGCAUGACUGGGCGUAAAGAGUCCGUAGACUGUAAAGUAAGUUUUUCGUUAAAUUUUAAGACCUAAUCUUAAACUAGCAAUUAAUACUGCUUUACUUGGAGUUUAAUACAGAAAAGUAGAAUUUUAUACGACAGGGGUGAAAUCCGUAGAUAUAUAAAGGAAUGCCAAUAGCGAAGGCAACUUUUUGGUAUAAACUGACGUUGAGGGACGAAAGCGUGGGUAGCAAACAGGAUUAGAGACCCUGGUAGUCCACGCUGUAAAUUCUGAGUGCUGUAAUUUAAUUGUAAUAUAUUUUAGAUAUUACUUAGAUUUUCAAGCUAACGCAAUAAGCACUCCGCCUGAGGAGUACGAUCGCAAGAUUGGAACUCAAAGGAAUUGACGGGGGUCUAACACUAGUGGUGGAGCAUGUGGUUUAAUGUGAUAAUCCGCGCAAAAUCUUACCAAUUCUUGACAUAGCUAAAUUGUUAUACAAAUUAAUUUGGUUUUUCAUGUAUAACAUUUUUUUACAGGUGUUGCACGACUGUCGUCAGCUCGUGUCGUGAGAUGUUUGGUUAAGUCCUGAAACGGGCGCAACUCUUACUUUUAAAAAAGUUUUUACAUAUUAAAAGUUUUUUAAAUCUUUUUAAAUGCUUUAAAAGUACGGUCAACGAUAAGUUGAAGGAAGGUAAGAAUGAAGUCAAGUCAAUGUGACCCUGAUGAAUUGGGCUACACAUGUGCUACAAUGAAAAUUACAAAAAGUAACAAAAAAGAAAUUUUGAGUUAAUCACCAAAAAUUUUCCCAGUUCGAAUUGUAGACUGCAACUCGUCUACA
This 849-nucleotide ribosomal RNA is filed under the name uncultured bacterium. Its description in RNAcentral is "partial 16S ribosomal RNA". It matches the Rfam family "Bacterial small subunit ribosomal RNA", at positions 509 to 1320 of the family's 1533-position model. The record is from RNAcentral.